AAGUCGUAACAAGGUUUCCGUAGGUGAACCUGCGGAAGGAUCAUUAACACGUAUCCAAACGUUAAACCCCCCUGUGAACCUUCAGUCGUACUCGUACGUCCGUUAGAAAAAGCAGCAAUCCCUGGUAAAUCAUCGCCGAACAGUUUUCGAUUCAGGGACGUCUGCAAGGAGCGUGCAUGUUGUGCGUGUAAGUGGCCUGGCAUCCCCAAGCAGUUAGUGUCUGAAAGUGUCACUAACGUUAGUGUCUGAAAGUGUCACUAACAUGUGUAAGGAUGACGAAGUCACGAUCGUUGGAGGCCCACACGACCGACGACCGGGUCACCGGGUGCAUAUCUAUGGUGAUCCUGCGGGAAGUCAACUGUUAACAAUGGAUAUCUUGGUUCUC
This 385-nucleotide unclassified non-coding RNA is filed under the name fungal sp. Its description in RNAcentral is "partial internal transcribed spacer region". The stretch from base 1 to 46 matches the Rfam family "Eukaryotic small subunit ribosomal RNA", at positions 1786 to 1831 of the family's 1831-position model. Lineage: Eukaryota; Fungi. The record is from RNAcentral.